GACGAACGCUGGCGGCGUGCCUAAUACAUGCAAGUCGAACGAACCGCGACUAAGUGCUUGCACUAAGUCAAGGUGAGUGGCGAACGGGUGAGUAACACGUGGGUAACCUACCUCAUAGUGGGGGAUAACAGUCGGAAACGACUGCUAAUACCGCAUAGGACAUAGGAUCACAUGAUCCAGUGAGGAAAGGUGGCGCAAGCUAUCGCUAAGAGAUGGACCCGCGGUGCAUUAGCUAGUUGGUAGGGUAAAGGCCUACCAAGGCGAUGAUGCAUAGCCGACCUGAGAGGGUGAUCGGCCGCAUGGGGGCUGAGACGCGGCCCAAACUCCUACGGGAGGCAGCAGUAGGGAAUGGUCCGCAAUAGAGGGAAGUCUGACGGAGCAACGCCGCGUGAGUGAAGAAGGUCUUCGGAUCGUAAAGCUCUGUUGUUAGAGAAGAACAGCGCAUAGAGUAACUGCUAUGCGUGUGACGGUAUCUAACCAGAAAGCCACGGCUAACUACGUG
Molecule: ribosomal RNA, 502 nt
Filed under: uncultured bacterium
Lineage: Bacteria
Description: partial 16S ribosomal RNA
Rfam family: Bacterial small subunit ribosomal RNA
Source: RNAcentral